UCAUAUGCAUGCAUGACUUGAGUUCUUGAAUGCAAAAAUUUAUGAGUCUCACAUGAUAACUAGGGUUCCAAAACCAGGUUAAAAUUCUUGUAAAAAAGGCCUCUCAAUGCAUGAGGCUCUCGCGUUGUUGGAUUUGGAAUUUCCAGUUCUUGGAGGUUGGCUCACAACCUGAGCCUGUCACUUCUAGGAUCACAAUCCUGUAACCUCACUUAUGCACCAAGGUUUACUCUCCUGGUUAGACUUUUCGAUAUGGGCCUUUCUCUAGCGAGUCAUAAUGUUUUAGUCUCCCUUUGAUGAGUUGAAUUAUGUAUUACAAUAAAUCAUAACAUAGAGUGACCUGGGAAGUUAUUUUCCAUUCAAAAGGCUGGGGGAUGCCUAGAACUGAGGAAUUUUCAGCUUUGGGAUAAGAUUUGUUUAUUAGGAAUAUAUAACUUGUCUCCCUAGCAGGCUUUCUAUGGGUAAUAUGGGUAGAGAAGUCUAUUUUAAAAGGAAGAAACAUCCUCCAAGCGAGGAUGCAGUUUGUUCUUAAGGGUAUUUAGAAAUUGGAAGUGUUCCUUCCCCAUACCUAUACAGGGGACAAGACUACAAGGGUGCUGGAAUGGAACCCACUAGAAUUCAGCAGCAAUGCGGAACACUUAGCAGCACAAGUAGAAGAAAGGAAUUUGGCAUAAAAGGUAGGAAAGUUUGUAAUUUCUCAAGGAAGUGACAAGAAACGAGAGAAAAUAUUAAAGAAGCAAAGCUAUUGAUGAAUCUGAUUGCUUUACUCUAUUCCCCACUGUACAUAAUUGGGUAUAUAUAUAUCAAGCAACUUCAGCUGUAAAGUGUAAUCAGCUAAGUGCUAUUAACAGCAUAACCAAUUUACAACAAGCUGACUAAUUACAAUUGCACGUAUUAAAUGGUAUAAUGCUCAGCUGUCAGUUUUAAUGAUUAACAUAAACUGAUAUGGAGUUGGUUUAAUGUUCCACAAGACUCCUUUUUUUUUUCUUGGCUUGCACUUUUAGACAGAUUGCCUACUAGAAGCAAACAUCAAGGCUAGGGUCUCUCUACUCCUAUUGAGUGUCUACUUUGUGGAUCUAGCAUUAAGAAAAGGGACUAUAUGUUUCCCUCGAGUGUUCCAUUUUUAGCCAGCAUUUGCAUAUGAUAUUUCAAGCUUGUGAGAAAGGCCAUAAUCUCCAAAUCUGGAAGGUUGAAUUAGCAUGGCUGAUUGAGAAUAUUACGAGCAAAUCCCUGAUGUUAAUUAUCCUCAAAUUGGAUUGGAAAUCCUAUGAUAUUUUGUUUAGCAAGAAAGGAAUUCUCGAUUACAUGGGAAGCAGGGCAGGCAGGUUACUGAUUUGUUUAGGCUGACUAAAACUACAAUACUUGAUAGACUCUUUACUCAGAGUAAACUCCGACUAGUUCCUAAUCAGAUCAAUAAAGCUUUACUUAUAAAAACAAUAGAGAAGA
Hibiscus syriacus is the source of this 1443-nucleotide long non-coding RNA. RefSeq lists it as uncharacterized. The transcript is spliced from 2 exons. NCBI's taxonomy places the organism in Eukaryota, Viridiplantae, Streptophyta, Magnoliopsida, Malvales, Malvaceae. The record is from RefSeq and is a predicted model, not a curated record.